RNAcentral lists this ribosomal RNA (483 nucleotides) under uncultured bacterium. RNAcentral's name for it is "partial 16S ribosomal RNA". It matches the Rfam family "Bacterial small subunit ribosomal RNA", at positions 28 to 507 of the family's 1533-position model. The record is from RNAcentral.
GACGAACGCUGGCGGCGUGCUUAACACAUGCAAGUCGAACGCUGAAGCUCAGCUUUUGUUGGGUGGAUGAGUGGCGAACGGGUGAGUAACACGUGAGUAACCUGCCUCCUUCUUUGGGAUAACGCCCGGAAACGGGUGCUAAUACUGGAUAUUCACUGGUCUUCGCAUGGGGGUUGGUGGAAAGGGUUUUUCUGGUGGGGGAUGGGCUCGCGGCCUAUCAGCUUGUUGGUGGGGUGAUGGCCUACCAAGGCUUUGACGGGUAGCCGGCCUGAGAGGGUGACCGGUCACAUUGGGACUGAGAUACGGCCCAGACUCCUACGGGAGGCAGCAGUGGGGAAUAUUGCACAAUGGGCGCAAGCCUGAUGCAGCGACGCCGCGUGAGGGAUGGAGGCCUUCGGGUUGUGAGCCUCUUUCGCUCAUGGUCAAGCCGCAACAAUGGUUGUGGUGAGGGUAGUGGGUAAAGAAGCGCCGGCUAACUACGUG